GUGAGCCUUAUGAAGCAUUUUUUAUUUUUUUAUUCAGUCCUUUUUCCUGAAGUAAGAGCAUCAUAUUUAUAAAUUUUUUUAGAUCCUUUAUUAAGCCAUACGAGGCCAUCAAACUUCUUUUCGGUGACAUUCUGAAUCGUGUUCCUGUAUACUUCAACACGUGGAGAAGCAAUUUUCUCCCUGUAAUCAAUUGCGAAUCUCUCGCUUGACCCAAAUUCCUAAUAUUCUCACUGUGUUUACCCUCCGAGUAGUGAUCAUUGUGACAGGAUGAGGAUACCAAUGUUCAUCGGUUUCUUCACAGUGUUUCAAAUUAUGGGACUUCUUUUUUAUUUGGGACUGAAAAAGGUUCACGAACAGGAUUAAUCAGUCAGUUAUUGCGGCAAACUAGAAGAUCACCAUGGAUCAAUCAUUUUUAAUGGUUUUAUGUGAAUUCACGCAGCUCUUUCCAAAUAAGUAUGCACCUCUUUGUCUCCGAGAAUCCUUCAACGGGGCGAUAACAUAAUAGGAAGGAAUCAACAACAACAACAAAACUAUGUAAGAGCCUAUUUUCAUAAUGCGUGGCCAUCAGAUAAUUAGAAGAAUCAAUCAAAAUUAGCUCCCAUCAUCAAAUAAGUAGAACUAAAUUAUCGUAUAAACCAUCA
Bemisia tabaci is the source of this 641-nucleotide long non-coding RNA. RefSeq lists it as uncharacterized. The record is from RefSeq and is a predicted model, not a curated record. NCBI's taxonomy places the organism in Eukaryota, Metazoa, Arthropoda, Insecta, Hemiptera, Aleyrodidae.